GCUUUGCUUUUCUAGGGCAGUUGCCUUUCACCUCCCAAGUGGUUGAGCAUAUGAGGGAUCCCUCUCUUGUGUUUAUUUCUGCAGUUUGUUUGUUUGUGUAUUGAAAAUAGCUAAAGAGUAAAAUAAUGGAGGAAAAAGAUUAGCUUAAAAAGUUCAAAGACAUCACGCUACAGCUGUGUUCUUUGGCAUUAUUCCAGUGUUAGGGUACUGCCUAGUUCCCUGUCUAUGGUAUGAAGAACAAGCUAUCCAUUGGCCAGAGUGAAAGAGUGAGAAACAAAAAUUCACCAGAAGCUCAGUCUUGAAUGGCAGCAUCUCUAGAGUUAUGGGCUGAUACCACUGGCAAGAGAACAGCAUGGUAUUAGAAGACACUAGGGACUGUAAAGAAAACAAGCAGGAACGGGAGAAGAAUAGCUCAAGAUAACCCAUUUUUCAGCAAACACUUGCGAGAGAAUGCCAGGACUAGAAAAGACCUGAGAACCAGAAGAUCAAAAGGACACUAGCCAUGUAAAAGGAAAUUCUCUUACAAAAGGGGGGGGUAGUCUUGGAGGGAGUUUUUUAGGGGGACCAGACUGACCCAGGAUGCUCCUGGGGAGUAGGGGAUGUCUGAAGAAGUUAGACUUCCCUAGUCACAGUCACAGGAUGUUAACUGAUUAUCCUCUUUCAAAAUCUUCCUCAAAACUUCCCUUUUCCAUGAUGUCUACAAAAAACUUGAUUAUGGUUAAGUUGCUGGUAUGCUGAGGCCAUUGCCAAUCAUGCUGACCAAUAUUGUCUCAUUGUUUGUUUGUACUCCCUUAUCUGUCUAUAUCCACCUAUUGUCUGUUGUCUUAGACAGUAAGCCCUUUGGACAGACGCUGUCUUUCUGGGUGGUGUUGGUACCACGUCUAGGACGAUGGAGUCGUGAUCCAGGACUAGGGAUUCUACACGCUACUGUAAUACAAAUAAUUAUUACAAAUCUUUAGGUAAGAAAAACAUGCAUCUCGUCACCAUAGACACCACUGGUCACACGCUCCUGAAGGAAAGAACUGCAUAUGCCAAACCCAGUCAGACCUGCUGGGUCAGCAGAGUUGAUAUGCAAAAUACUUGAGCCAAUGGCCCUAAGAGAAGGAGAAUUUUUUAAUUCCUCCCCAGUAGAGGUAAA
Molecule: long non-coding RNA, 1138 nt
Organism: Gopherus evgoodei (Goodes thornscrub tortoise)
Lineage: Eukaryota; Metazoa; Chordata; Testudines; Testudinidae
Exons: 4
Source: RefSeq, a predicted model, not a curated record